UACGUAGGGUGCGAGCGUUAAUCGGAAUUACUGGGCGUAAAGCGUGCGCAGGCGGUUCGCCAAGUCAGGUGUGAAAUCCCCGGGCUUAACCUGGGAAUUGCGCUUGAAACUAGCGGGCUUGAGUGUGGCAGAGGGGGGUGGAAUUCCACGUGUAGCAGUGAAAUGCGUAGAGAUGUGGAGGAACACCGGUGGCGAAGGCGGGUCUCUGGGCAGUAACUGACGCUGAGGAGCGAAAGCGUGGGGAGCGAACAGG
RNAcentral lists this ribosomal RNA (253 nucleotides) under uncultured bacterium. Its description in RNAcentral is "partial 16S ribosomal RNA". It matches the Rfam family "Bacterial small subunit ribosomal RNA", at positions 524 to 776 of the family's 1533-position model. The record is from RNAcentral.